UUUCCGUAGGUGAACCUGCGGAAGGAUCAUUACCGAGUAAAGGGUCUCUAAGGCCCGCACUCCCACCCUUUGUGUACCUACCUUUGUUGCUUUGGCGGGCCGCGCCGCGGCCUCCGUGUAGCCGCCGGCUUCGGCUGGUGAGCGCCCGCCAGAGGACCUUCAAAACUCUGUUUAUCGGUGUCGUCUGAGUUAAACAUCAAUAAAUUAAAACUUUCAACAACGGAUCUCUUGGUUCUG
Molecule: unclassified non-coding RNA, 237 nt
Filed under: soil metagenome
Description: partial contains small subunit ribosomal RNA, internal transcribed spacer 1, and 5.8S ribosomal RNA
Source: RNAcentral